UACGUAGGGUGCAAGCGUUGUCCGGAAUUAUUGGGCGUAAAGAGCUCGUAGGCGGUCUGUCGCGUCGGCUGUGAAAUCCCGGAGCUCAACUCCGGGUCUGCAGUCGAUACGGGCAAACUGGAGUACUGCAGGGGAGACUGGAAUUCCUGGUGUAGCGGUGAAAUGCGCAGAUACCAGGAGGAACACCGGUGGCGAAGGCGGGUCUCUGGGCAGUAACUGACGCUGAUGCACGAAAGCUAGGGGAGCAAACAGG
Molecule: ribosomal RNA, 253 nt
Filed under: uncultured bacterium
Lineage: Bacteria
Description: partial 16S ribosomal RNA
Rfam family: Bacterial small subunit ribosomal RNA
Source: RNAcentral